This 863-nucleotide long non-coding RNA is filed under the name Homo sapiens (human). Its description in RNAcentral is "non-protein coding lnc-CYBA-2:1". The record is from RNAcentral. Lineage: Eukaryota; Metazoa; Chordata; Mammalia; Primates; Hominidae.
GGGGAACACUGGGGGAGGGUGGGCCGGGAAGCCCACCGGCCUGGCCCUGGCUGUUCAUUACAGGGGGCAAGCGCGAUGAAGAGCUGGUUCUGCCCAUCAACUCCUCCCUGAGCGUCACUCUGCACCAGGACCAGUUAAAAACCACCACAACAGCCGUCAUCAGCAAGGACUUCACCGAGGACCGGAUUUGGCUGAAUGGCCGGGAGGAGGAUGUGGGGCAGCCGCGGCUGCAGGCCUGCCUGCGGGAGAGUGAGCUGGGGUCCCCAUAAGCCCAUCCCUCCCUGUUGUCAGCAGGGUCCGAGCAUCCAGAAAGUGCUUCUGCCUCUGUGCCCCUCCUGAGGCAGCAGGCGGGGUGGCUGGGAACCAGACAUGCCCGCUGGGCCGCCAGCUCCAGGGCAGUGGCCCACCUCAAUGACCAGCUGGGCUUGGGUCAGUCUGGGGUUUUCCCGGGUAAGAAACUCUCCACGAGGAGUCUGGCAGGCAGAGGCCUGGUGUUCAGCUGUGACCCCGGGCAGGUGGGCAGGAGCAGGGCGGGCAGGGUGCUGACGGCUGGGCCACACGCUGUCUCAUUGUCUCUGCAGUCCGCUGCCUGGCCCGGAAGCGGAGGAACUCACGGGAUGGGGACCCGCUGCCCUCCAGCCUCAGCUGCAAGGUGCACGUGGCAUCGGUGAACAACUUCCCCACGGCUGCGGGCCUGGCCUCCUCAGCGGCGGGCUAUGCCUGCCUAGCCUACACCCUGGCCCGUGUCUACGGCGUGGAGAGUGACCUCUCAGAAGUGGCUCGCCGGGGCUCAGGCAGCGCCUGCCGGAGCCUGUAUGGGGGCUUUGUGGAGUGGCAGAUGGGAGAGCAGGCCGACGGGAAGG